UCCCAAGAUCUCUUCCUGAACAGGAAAUUUCCUGUGGUCCAACAGACAUUCCUCUCAGCACUUAUCACUCUCUUACAUUUGUUUUGGCAGAUACUGAGUCUUGGCCUCGUGAUUGGCCAACGGUCUAGAAGUCAACUUGAAGAAACUAAAAACUCCAGUCCAACGAAGCCUACAGAAAAGAGACUUUUGAGGAGACGUAAACCCACAAAGACAAAGACAACACAAGAAAUAACAACCAGGCCUGUGGAGAAGAAGAAAGGGAACAAACCAGAAACAUGGAGGCAGACCAGUCAAUGGAGGCAGACCAGUCAGUUAGUGGUGGUCUAUGCAACAGAUCCAAGAAAGAGGAAUGCUAACUGUCCAGUCAUGACAGCAGAGAGGUAACUGCAGGUUCACAUGGCAAGAUCUUAAGGGGACGGGGGUUUGGUGGCACCAGUCACAUCUGGAACACCUGGAGUCUGGGUUCCUUCCCUAUCAUGGCAGUUACAGCAUGUGCUCUGAUCCUAGCAGAACCAGACGGAGCUGACAGGAGAAUCACUGGGUGGGGUUCACUGGGACUUUACAGACGGAGACCAAAAGAACACACGUGUGAUGACCUCCUGUCUCUGUUUUCCCGCUGCUCCUCGAGGAAGUCAACAGACGUACACAGCCACCUUUGGGGAAUCUGCAUAGUCAAGCUCCAAAUCUGCUGGCAUUUACUUAAUGGUGUCCCAAUAACAUGCACAUGUGGGUCAUCUUCUCCAGGGGUAGCCCAAAGAUGACCAGGAUUUUCAAUUAGGGCCUGCGGCUCUGUUAACUUGAAAUGGGGAUAGAGGGACACAGAGCACCAGGUAUUGAGUUAAAACAGAGUAGAGAGUAAACAAAAGCCAAACUAGAGGUGUAUGUGUCCUGAACUCCAGCUCCUGGGAGUUGAGGAAGGAGGAUGCAUGGUCAAGGCCAGUCUGCGCUACACGGUUUAACCUGGUUUCAAAAAUACCAACAAGAGAAGAGAGAUUUGUGUGGGGAGAGGGGUAGAAGGUGAUGAAGGAGAGGGCAGAGUGAGGGAUAACUAACACUGUGGAUGUUAAAAAUGCCAUAUAGGAAUCUACUGUUUUACAGGAUUCAUUGCAGUUUUACACUAAAAGAAGUUUAAUUUUGAGGUCAUCCAGCAUGGGGGAUAAUGCUUUCCCCAGAAGCUAUAGAUUGCCAAGUAAAAGGCCCAGUGCUGGCUAUGCUGUGGGACACUCCCUCCAGUUGUUGGCUGGGGGUACGCGAGAGACUCCCAAAACAAUACAGGCUAUUCCCACUGCUCUUAGUCACCCACCACAUGCUGAUGGUAAGACCCUAGUGCUAAAGACAGCAUGGAAUUUGGUCAAAGACAGAGAAAUCAGGCUGGUACUAAGCUCUGAGGUUCCUCAAGGCAAGCUUUCAUAGUAAUAGCAGGUACUGCGUUGGCUGCCGUGGAGUGGGAAGGGUCACUGACGGUGACACCCAGCUGUGAACCAGUGGGCAAGAAAGGUCCAUGGGGACAACAGUGUCAACACAUGUUAUAAACAAUGAUUUAGGAUUGAAUUGAUUAAUCUGAGAGGAAUAGGAAGUGAAUAUGAGCAAGAUACUUCAUAUAAAGUUCUCAAAGAAUUAUUAUUAAAAAUGUCUCAAUUGAAAAUAUCAACAAAGGUUGGGGAGAUGCUUCCGCUGAUAAAGAGCUUGCUGUACUAAAAUAGGAGCCAGAGUUCAGAGUUCCAGCACCCACACAGAAAAUGAACAGUCAUGGCAGACUGCCUGUGAUCCCAGCACCUUGGGGCAGAGACGGGAUGUGCUGGUUAGCUCUUUGUCAACUUCACUUAAGCUAGGAAGAAAGACCUUCAACUGAGAAAACGCCUCUAUCAGGUUGGUCUGUAGACCAGCCUCUAGGACGUUUUCUUGAUUAAUGAUUUCUGGAGAGGGCCCAGUCCUGGAUUAUAUGAUAAAGCAAAUUUAGGGAGCCAUGGGGAGCAAGCCAGUAGGCUGCAUGUCUCUAAGAUUUCUGUUUCAAUUCCUGCCUCCGGCUUCCUGUUGUGAGCUCCCGACUUUAUUUCCCUAGAGAUGGACUGGGGACAUGGAAGUAUUAACCAAACAAGCCUGUUCCUCCCCAAGCUGCUUUUGGUCACAGUGUUUGAGGACAAGAACAAAAACUGAACCAUAACAAAGGGGUUCUGUGACAAGCUGGCUAGGUAGAGUAGGUGAUUCUGUCAGCUCUGGGUUCAGUUAGAGACCUGCCUCAGUAUAUAAAGAGGAGAGCAAUCAAAGGGACAUGUUGAUAUCCAACUCUGCUCUCCACUCAUACGUACAAACACACAGGCACUUACAAAUGUGUGUCCACAAAUAUGUGAUCAUGCAUGCAUGUUAAUGUGUAUAAACACACACACACACACACACACACACACAAAUCAAUGACAAAGACAAACAAAAUCCUCCAAAAUAAAACUCAGUGGAAGUGUUAGAAGGAAAGGGAUAGCGAGUCUCCCAAACAGGAAUUUAAAAAACGCAGGCUAGUUGGGCAGUGGUAGUGACACAUCCCUCUAUCCCUAGCACUUGGGAGGCAGAGGUAGGUGGAUCUCUGUGAGUUCAAGGCUAACCUGGUCUACAGAACCAGUUCUAGGACAGUCAAGGUUACACAAAUAAACUCUGUCUUGAAACACCAACCAACCAACCAAAACAACAACAGCAAAAACCAAAUACACAGGUUAAAAACUGAAGAGCAAAGAUAAGAAAAUAAUAGCACCAAGCAACCUUCUAAUAAUAACCAUUGGGCGGGGGAGGCACAUACAUGAAAUAGCAAUAAAUAUCCUAGGAUGGAAGGAAAUGAAUCUCCAAGUUAAAAGGGGCAUUCCAGAUUAGGGCACACUAUCCUGACCCUGUAGAACUUGGGGACUGAAUGUUCACAUAGGACAAACCAGCAACCAAGAAAUUAAUUCACACAAAGACUUAAGGUUAUAAAUAUGGUCACACGAUGGAGCAAUACCUUCACAUUUGUGAGAAAAACAAGGUCCUGUCUGAACCCUAUUACCAAUCAAUGGGGAGACCAUAUACAAGAGUCAAAAAAUGUGCUCUCUUCCCACUUCUCAGAAAGCUAUUGGUAGGUUUCCUCCAUUGAAUCAAGAGGACAAGCUAGCAAGGAAGAAAGCGAGGCUCUGAGAAAAGAGACUCAAACGCAAGAGUCAAGCCAAGUGUAGGAGGGUCCAAGGGCUGGUAUCUUGGGCAGGCGGGCAGUUCCAGGUUAGGCUUUAAGAUUUCUAACACCGGCUACAAUGAGAACCACUUUUGGACCCCCGAGAACACUGCAUACACAAGGUACACAGAUACACAUGCAGGCACAUAAACACAAACCAUCGUACACAUAAAACACAAAUAAAUAAAUCUGAUGAAAAACCAGUGGAAAGACUUGAAAGAGUUCACCAAAAUGAAAUCAGAGGGGCUAAAGUGGGAGAGCAUGAACGUUGUAGAGCGAUUACAUUCUUGACCUGCCAUAUACAGUCAUAAUCCUCACAAGUCCACAUGAUGCUGUCCCGGGAGACAGGACAGCUCAGAGCAAAGGGGACCACGAAAUAACAAGGACACAUUUGCAGCUUCUCAAGUGCACCAUGACAACACCGUGCUUCCUACAUCACUUUUUAUAGGUGGUGGGGUUUUUUUUUGGGGGGGGGCGGGGGCUGGAUUGCUAAGCUUUGGUUACACAAAGGAGGUGAAAUAAAAGAUCCUCCCUCCUCAAAAACGUUUUGAUUACUAUCCACGCUCAAGUCUUAGGAGAGCAAGAUCUUUUGAAACAAUCCAUUUGAGAACAUUUUGUGUGGAUGUUGGAGUGUUAGUACAGCCCCACGAUAGGCACAGACUUCGAGGUCCUCUGCCCCGUGGAAAAGAUAACAAAUGAACUGGGUGAGGACUCGGGGGCAAUUUAAUUCCAGCCAGCUUUAGUCUCUUAGGAGUGUUUGUCUAAGAGAGAGGGGCUGCUGUGUAGAAAGCAGGCGUGUAAUGUUUUCUUAGUGCACUUUUCUCCAGCAAUUAAGGCUCCACCCCCAAGAGCAAGGAGGAAGAAGAAAUGCAUUCGAGAAGUCACACAGGAGAACUCACCAGGUGCUCUUUCUUUGCACCGGAUGAUAUUUUUGGUUGGAUUAAAAAUGAUACUCCCCCCCCGCACCCCCCCUCAAGCUGAGAACGGAAUCCAGAGCUUUGUGCACGCUGAGCACACUCUACCACUGAGUUACACUGCCAGCCAUGACAUAAGUCAGAAUCGACAGCGCUUUGACACAAACUGGAACAUAAGCUGUGGCCCUCUCGCUUGCACCAAAGCAACAGUUUCAUGGACUUCAAUUCAUGAAAAGCAAAAUUUCAAGAAAAUGCACCUGGGCCUUCUGGCUCACUACUCGGUUUUGACCAAAUUGACUGUUAAAUUCUCUGAUCUCACCUUGAUCGUUUGUAAAAGAAAGAGGGAGAGGCCCAGCCUCUUCGAUACCUAGAGCUUCCAAUUUAUAACACUCAUUUAUUCUUUCUGUUUCUGAUGUGGGAAGGUAUCUGCCCCAGCACGCAUGUGGCACUCCCAGGUCUGUGUGGAGUGAGAGCUCCCAUUUCGCUGUGGGUUCUAAAGAUCAGACUCAGGGCUUCAGGUUGGGUAGAAAGCUCUGUCACCCACCGAGGCACCUUAAGAACCUGGCAUUUCCUGAAGAUUUCUUUUUAUUUUUUAAAAUGCAGGUAUGCAUGCAUGUUUGGGGGUGUGUAUGCCAGUGAGACCAGAGCACUUGCUCUCCUGGACCUGGAGUUACAUGUAGUUGUGAGCAGCCUGGUGUGGAUACUGGGAAUAAGGUCUGGAUCCUCUGUAAUAGUGGUCCAUGUUCUCAUCCAUGGAUCCAUCUCUCUGGUCCCCAGAAACCUUACUUUAGAUCAGAAACAUAACAUGACCACAUAAUACAAUUUUAAAUGAUUUUAUUUCCAGAAUAAAAAGGGGGAGAGAGACAAAGUUGAUAGUACCUUUAAUAAAACAUUCCACUUAUACCCAUAUAUUGAAAUUUGCAUCAUUUAAACAAAAUAACUUCAAUGUGAAGUUAUUAAUGACUUUAUUUAUUUUAUUUACUUAUAUUUAUUUAUUUAUUUUGAGGCAGGGUCUUACUGUGUAGCCAUGGCUGUACUGGGUCCCAUUAUGUAGACCAGGCUGGCCUUGAACUCACAGAGUUCUGUCUGCCUCUGCCUCUCAAGUGCUAGGAUUAAAGGCAAGUUUUAAUGUCAAGGUUUUAGGGACUUGUGGAUAAUUUAUCCUCACAGUAGAGAUCAAUGAAUAUGAUGAGUGCUGCCAUCAAUAUCCCCGUGAUGGGAGGCACAGCUUUAGCUCUGUCUCUGCCAGACAACACUCAUUCUAGAGCAGCAUCAAGCAAGCCUUUUACUCUCAGAUCAGUCACUCCAGCCACAAACAGCAGAGAAAACUCACGCCUCCUCAGCUGGCUUAACUUUACAAUGCUGUCCUCGAAUUCAGAGUAGAGAAGCUAGCUUCUGCCUCCACUCUCCUUUCUGUUCCAGUCUCCUAGGGUUCCUGGGAAUACUAACACCUUUUGGCCUCAUUCAGGUCACUCAAGCGGGUGAUCCUGGCAUCAGUGUCAGUCAAAGAGGGCGUGAAUCAGAGGAGGAGACACCCAGGACUUCCGGGAAGUGGAGAAUGGGGUCAUCUGUACAGGGAGAGUUCUAGAAGGUCUGGUAUCUGUUCUCUCAACAUGAGCCACUCCCCUCUGAGAUCAUCCUUCCCCUCACAGCUCUUCCCAAGCCAGAGAGAUGCUGCAGCAGGCCUAGACACAGGCAAGUUGUCACUGCAAUCCUAUUCCAGAAGAGUCGCGAGCAGUCACAGACCCAGGGUGUUCCACUUCCUCUUCCAGCUGCCUUCGUGCAAGGAGUGAAAACCCGUGUCCUGACUCCGGAUGCACAAACACGUUCACUAUCACUAGCAAGACAGGUGUGGUGGCACACACCUGGAAUCCCAGCACUGGGGAGGUUGGGGCAGGAAGGCUGCCGCAAGUUCAAAGUCAUCUUGGUCUAUUCGUGAGUAGCAGAGUCAGACUGGGCCACACAACUAGACUAUCUCAAAAGAAUAAAGCAUCAAGCCCCUCUAUAUGAGCACGGAAGGUCUGCUAAAGAAUUCUUUUAGGAUUCUUAAAUAUAUCAGGGAAUAGCUGGGGACACUGCCCCAAUGGUGGUUGCAAUGUGUGAGCCUCGAGUUAAAUUCAUAAAAUAAUCUUUGGUCUGAUGAGGCUAAAUCUGUAAAUACCCUGGCUUUUAUUUUAGAAUUAUGGCAGCCAUAUGAGUUGCUUUUCAACCAUUCCAUACUUAACAGAAGUCCUGAUAAACCUCGUAGUUCAUAAGUAUUUAAUUAGGUAGAAGUAGAACAACAAAUUAAGUUCGUCUAUUUAAUAAAUAUAAAGUUUUCAGUAAAGAAAACACUGCAAAACAUGGGAUACAGGCUUGGAAACUAUAAUAAAAAACCAAGGGCUUGGUACAAAAAGGCCAGAAAUGACAGCCUCAUAUUAACUUCCUCUAAGAAAGUCACACUUGGUGUAGACCAAAGCAUAAAGUUUGGAAUAACAAGAAGACAAACAAAACUGCAUAUCUCCUUAAAAAUAAACAAGAACUAAUAGAACAUAAAAAAAAAAAAAUCUAGAAACGUACGUAGCCUGUCCUCACAUCUCUAGAAUAGCUUUCUGGUUGGGUCUCUGUUUUAGUUUGCUUUCUGGUGCUAUGAUAAAACGCUGAGUACAACUGACUUAAAAGAGGAAGGAAUUUAUACGACUUACACUUCCAGGCCUUAGUUCAUCACUGAGGGAAGUCAGGGCAGGCACUGAAGCAGAAACCAACUAGGAAUGCUGUUUGUUGGCUCGCUUCACAGCUCACUUAGCUUCCAGACCAGAACCACUUGCCCAGGGAAUAGUACUGCCCACAGUGGGCUGGGCCCUCCUCUAUGAAUGAACGAUGAAGAAUAUUCCUCACAGAAAUGCCCACAGACCAAAUCACUUAAUUGAGCCCUUUUAAGUGAUUCUAGGCUGCUUCAAGGUGACAGUUAAUGCUAACUAGGACAGCUUCCAAUUCCCCAUUGCAGGCUACGUGGUCACCUUUUGUAGCCAAUGGCUAUAAUUAUGCAAUGGUGCUUGCUAAAGCAAGUGCCAGAAUUAGAUGCCAGGCACAGAAGGCAUGCUAUUGGCAAUCUCAUUCAUCUAGUUCUCAAGUUCUCAGAAAACUCCAACGUCCAGAGUUACUCAAGAGUUUAAGCUGGAGGGCUGCGAAGAGUGAGCAGCCGGACUAAAAAAAGACACAGAGCCCAACGCAAACCCGAACGCGAGGCUGCUCGACACACUGGGAGCCAAGAAGCCCGCUCAGCGGCUCAGUGACACACUUCUACUUCACACGGAAGCACUUCGAGAAGAUAAGUUGAUAAACAUCUGUUUACUGACCCAAGAACAACUCUGCAAGACUAACCAGAAGGCCUCAUGUUCACUUUGAACAGACUGAUGAAGCAGAGGAGGACACCUGGUGCAGACUCUGAGGCGAGUCAAGCGCUGCAUCUACAUUUCAGCAAACAAUUUGAGUCUGUCUUGACAGUUUCUCGGCGGUUAAACUGAAAUUCAGAAUCCCCGUGCUCAUGUGUCAUUUACAGCAUAUGAGAUCUAUACGUGGCAUAAACCAUAUAAACAGGAUAUGGGUCUCAAUUAUGAAGGCCGCGUUCUAUGCCUACCUGGAAGGCAAUCUCUACCAGCGGGCCACCAGAUGCAUGCAUGCACUAAUCCUGUCUUACUGUCUUUCCUUCAACAAAAUUAACAUUAAAGUACAAAAAGGCAUACUCAUCCGAUCUGGAUCAUAAGGAGAUAGAGAUGGGGUUUUAAAAGGUGGUGUACGCACCUGUAGACCUAGUACUUGGGAAGUUCUGGGCUGCACGGUAAGACUUGUCUCCAAACAAAAACCCCAAGUGAGAUGAAAGGGCAGCAGCCAUAAGGUUAUAAUCACCUCAGUCAGCUUUCCCAGAACUUAACAGGCGGAAUGUUAACCACAGAAGGGGAGGGGUGGUGUUGGGGGAUGGAAGGAUUAGUGAUCAAAGAAUGAGGGAGAAAAAUGAUGACUUCUGGCUAUAGCCCAAGCAAAGAUGAACAGGAGUAUAAUACAGAUACCGAAAUCUAAAGUGUCAGCACGGACUUAUGCUACAUUAAUAACAGGACUAUCUACAUAUUUAACAUGUACUUUACAUCUGUCGGAAGGAAAAAUUACUGAGACAGGUUAGACGCAGAAUUGACAUUCACAUCUCUACCUGACUUCAAGGGUCCCAUCCGUCUGAGGAAUAUAUGUUGAAAAAUCACUUCCUAUUUGGUUCCAUGGGGUAAAUAAAACCAGAACCAAAGGAUGAGGCAUCACCAAGUUCAGAUGAAGACCAAACCAGGGGCACCUACACAGGCCCCUAUCAGUUACCGCUCUGCUCCUGUGAUAAAAUGAACUCCGUGGCCAAAAGCAACUUAAGGAAGAAAGAGCUUAUUUUGGUUUCCGUCCCAGUGGGAUAAAGCCUAUCAUGGCAGGAAGGGCAGGGCAUGUUGGCUGGACCAGGAAGCUAACUGACUUGAGCACAUUUUUGUGUGAACAUAGGAAGCAGAGAGAGGGAGAGCGAGACACAGAGACUCUCUGGAAGUGAGAUGAGGCUAUGCUCCCAACUCCUACUUCUAUAACGAUCCACUUCCUCCAGCAAAGCUCCACUUCUUAAAGAUUUCCUAACCUCCCCCAAAGAGCACCACCAACCGAGGACCAGUGUUGUGUCCGGCCAGCAGACCAGAGGAAUCGGGUCCAUGUCCACCCAAGCCAAGGUUAAAAGCCCACUCAUCUACGAAUGAGAAAAUCAUUUGAUCACCUCAGUUAAGCGUUGCCUUAUUUAACUUAAUCAAUAGGGGGGAGAGAGAUUGGAGACGUACUAUUGAAAGGGCAAGCCCUUCACUGCCUCCCACCCAAAUAAAAAAGCCAAUUGGCCUUGUACUACAAGAGCCAGUCGAACUCCUUCUCCCUGUUUCCCACCUAUCAUCCAAAAAAGCGGAGAAAUAUCAACUUAGUGUUAUUAUAGUGUAUUUCACAUUUGUUCAGUCAAACUUAGCCAGAGUUCCAACGCCCUACUUAAAAUUCAACUAAAAAGUUACCUACCAAGUACUAAUUAGCAUUAUAAAGUCAGAGCCUACAGCUCCAGGCUUUUCAGUUAGUUGUUCACUAAGAUAAGAAAGGACAGUCUUAGCCUUAUACAGUUUACCAUAAGAAAAGUUAAGGAAUCCCAUGAAAACAAGUUUUUUCUUUAGCCCUAGAUUCCAGGCAGAACUAUUGAGCAUAGAUAAUUUUUCCCCCCUCAGGCCAGCUUUUUCUUUUUUUUAAUUUUGUUAAUAAAAGGGAGGAGAUGUAGUCUCCCCUCCCCCAGCCUGAAACCUGCUUGCUCGGGGUGGAGCUUCCUGCUCAUUCGUUCUGCCACGCCCACUGCUGGAACCUGAGGAGUCACACACGUGCACCUUUCUACUGGACCCGAGAUUAUUCGGCGGGAAUCGGGUCCCCUCCCCCUUCCUUCAUAACUAGUGUCGCAACAAUAAAAUUUGAGCCUUGAUCAGAGUAACUGUCUUGGCUACAUUCUUUUCUCUCGCCACCUAGCCCCUCUUCUCUUCCAGGUUUCCAAAAUGCCUUUCCAGGCUAGAACCCAGGUUGUGGUCUGCUGGCCGGACACAACAGACCAGGAGUUUAAAUACUCCUGAGCCUCUGGGGAGCAGCUCUCAUUCAAACCACCACAAGAGGGGAAGGACCAGGGAGUUAAGUUUGAUUUGGGAUGCCAGAGACAGUCAUGGCUUGGACAACAAAUUAGAAUGCAUCAUCUCUGAGUUCUCUCCUCUUAGACAAAUAGCAGAAACGACUAAAGUGGCUCGGUUUUUGUUUAUGCUUUGUGAUUUUUAAAUUUUAAACAAAAUGUACAUAAACACUUCCAAAGAAUUGGAUGCUACAUGUUAAGAAACCAGACUCAUCUUUUUCUUGAAGUGGGUUUUUCCACUGUUCAAGGGUGCAGGAGGGCUAGAAAGCUAAUGGAAUUGGGUAACUCCCUGGGAUUUAUAUCCAAGGUGUUUAUCCUUCUGUUAGGAAGCUGGCGGUCCAAAGGCAAAGAUUGCAGCUUAAAAAAAUUAGGUAGAACAGGGGAGACAGCUCAGCAGGUACAAGUUCUUGCCUUGUUAUAAGCUUGACAACCUGAGUUUGUUUCUGGAGUUUAUGCAGACACCUGUAAUUCCAGCACUUCCAUAUAGUAAGAUGGGCCAGUGAGCCUGGAACAUACAGUUCAGUGGCAGAAACAAGGGAGACUACUUAAAAAACAAGGUAAAAAGUGAGAAGCAACUCCCAAAAGUUGCACACACACACACACACACACACACACACCAAAUACAUAUUUUUUUUAAAAAAAUCAGUGCAUCUGUCAAACUAAGAAAUAACAAUUAUAUAUCCAUAAAUGGAUUUUGUAAUAGAUUAAAAUUUAUAGACUGAUUCAUUAACUCAAGAAAUACUCAUUGAAACAUCUGUGCCAGAAUGAGAGAAAAUGAAUUAUUCCCAAUUAACCCACUUCCUUUGGAGGUAUCAGAUUAUCAAACAUAUAUCCUUGAACACACUAUGCAAGCAUCAUUCCACCUAGCUGUAGUCCCAGCCUAACCCAUUUAUUUAUUUAUUUAUUUAUUUUUGUGGGCUUCUUCAUACAGGAUUGGGCAUCGAUGUAAAAUCAGAAGAGGCUGAAGGUAGCAUACUGGCAAUGCUGCCAACGGCAAAAUGAAUACUACAGCAAACCUUUACUAGAAUAAGGUUUGAUACUGUAUGGAACUUACAGAGUGUGCCCACCUGCUGAGUUACGAAGCACACUAGGCAGGUGACAAAGGAGCGAGCUGAGCUGAUCACACCUCAGUGACUUCUCUUGCUAUCCUUCACCUCUGUGAAAAACACCUCAUACAACGCCCCGAAUUGUCCACACCAAUCAGAUUUUCAAUUAAAAACCCUUAGAAAUGAAUGUUCCCGAGUUCCAUGCUGGUCAGGGUAUCCUAUUAAGUACCAAAGGCUACAUCAUUCAGUGACUAUUUAACAACUUGAGGGGAUUUUUCUACAUGAUGUUAGUUUUCCUUCUGGUUAAAAAAAAAAAAAAAA
Long non-coding RNA from Mus musculus (house mouse), 11169 nucleotides. RefSeq annotates it as predicted gene, 52920. The record is from RefSeq and is a predicted model, not a curated record. The transcript is spliced from 4 exons. NCBI's taxonomy places the organism in Eukaryota, Metazoa, Chordata, Mammalia, Rodentia, Muridae.